Molecule: ribosomal RNA, 428 nt
Filed under: Chloroflexota bacterium
Lineage: Bacteria; Bacillati; Chloroflexota
Description: Chloroflexi bacterium partial 16S ribosomal RNA
Rfam family: Bacterial small subunit ribosomal RNA
Source: RNAcentral
UGGGGAAUAUUGCACAAUGGGCGCAAGCCUGAUGCAGCCAUGCCGCGUGUAUGAAGAAGGCCUUCGGGUUGUAAAGUACUUUCAGUCGGGAGGAAGGUGGUAAGGUUAAUAACCUUGGCAAUUGACGUUACCGACAGAAGAAGCACCGGCUAACUCCGUGCCAGCAGCCGCGGUAAUACGGAGGGUGCAAGCGUCAAUCGGAAUUACUGGGCGUAAAGCGCACGCAGGCGGUUGAUUGAGUCAGAUGUGAAAUCCCCGGGCUUACCCGGGAAUUGCAUCUGAUACUGGUCAGCUAGAGUCUUGUAGAGGGGGGUAGAAUUCCAUGUGUAGCGGUGAAAUGCGUAGAGAUGUGGAGGAAUACCGGUGGCGAAGGCGGCCCCCUGGACAAAGACUGACGCUCAGGUGCGAAAGCGUGGGGAGCAAACAGG